AGAUCAGAAGUUGCAGAGCAAAAUCUUUCUGAAGUUGUGGAUGAAUCUCUUUUUCUAAGAAAUUUAACCCUCUUCUAUCUGAAACUGCAAGCUAAAUUGCUAUUGCCUGAGUCUACCAUUCAAGGCAUUGUUGAAGAAUUUCAAAACAUCCAUGACAUUGGGCAGUCAUAUUUUCUUAGCAAACUGAGAGAAAAGCUUGCUUUGCUUGAAUUACCAGAGGAAAGGAUUAAUGAUGUGAUUGAUCAGUUGUCUAGGGAGGAUUUGCUGACAGCUUGUAAUAGUGGAGUUCUAAGUACAGCACAGAGGAGAAAGACUACUUUCAAGCAAGAUUUCUACUAUGUUGAGCCAGUCCCUAUUUUUUUAGGAGUCAGUGAAAGAAAUGGGAAAGAGUACUUUGCUCAAUAUGUCCCAGUUAAACAGACCAUCAGUGCUCUUUCAGUGCCAGUCUGUGAUCAAUAUGAACAGAUGCACUCGCAAACAGCUGAAAAUGAUCUGUUUCGGGAUGUAAAGGAUGGUGACAACCUGGGAUCCCACAUGAUUGGUGGUUUUGUCGAGAACUUUAGCCGAAGCCUACAUUUCUGCAGGUAUGUCUAAUUUAGAGGAAAUAAAACUUGCCAUCUCCUCUUCGUUACCUGGUCUCUCUGAUGAAACGCUUCAAAAAUUUAUCCAUGGUCUUUCUGCUAUUGGUGUUGAGACAAAAGAUGACCUCCGGUAUGUCAAAGAAGAAGACCUCAUGGAAUUCCUCAGGCCUAUACAAUGCCGCAAACUACUGAA
This is a long non-coding RNA of Tachysurus vachellii, 774 nucleotides long. RefSeq lists it as uncharacterized. The transcript is spliced from 3 exons. NCBI's taxonomy places the organism in Eukaryota, Metazoa, Chordata, Actinopteri, Siluriformes, Bagridae. The record is from RefSeq and is a predicted model, not a curated record.